GACGGAGGGUGCAAGCGUUGUUCGGAAUUACUGGGCGUAAAGCGCGGGCAGGUGGCCUUUUAAGUCCUUUGUGAAAUUCCGGAGCUCAACUCCGGAUGUGCAUAGGAUACUGGAAGGCUAGAGACUGGUAGAGGCGAGCGGAAUUCCUGGUGUAGCGGUGGAAUGCGUAGAUAUCUGGAGGAACACCGGUGGCGAAGGCGGCAUCCUGGACCGGUAUUGACGCUGAGGCGCGAAAGCCAGGGGAGCAAACGGG
Molecule: ribosomal RNA, 253 nt
Filed under: uncultured bacterium
Lineage: Bacteria
Description: partial 16S ribosomal RNA
Rfam family: Bacterial small subunit ribosomal RNA
Source: RNAcentral